CCUCAGGUUACCGCCGGCAGGGGGCAUUCAGAGCGGGAUUAUUUUUCACCCGUUGACACCAUCUGUCAGCAUGUUGGUUUCUCAGUCAUUUGGACACCGUCGGAGGACUUGUCGGAACGGAAACGCAGCAAUUUGGUCAUGUCGCUAUACCGGAUGCAGCCACUCGGGGUUCACGUGUCUCCUUUGCAUGAGACUUUGAAGAUGAGAGGAACACGAUCUAAUAAAAAGAUGAUGAGGGAGGAAAGGGGAAGCAAGGUGGAGAUUAGAAGGAGAGGAUACGGCAGGAGGAAAAUGAUAAAGCGGAGGCCAGACCCGUUAAUCCCAAUUCUUACUUAUGAGAUUCACACACAAACACACACGCUGAUUGGAACCGUAAUGGAGGUCCAGAAAAAAAUCUAAAAAGAAGACAUACUACGUGUUGUUGUUGUUGUUUUUUUUUUUUUUUUUUUUUCCACAAUUUAGAAACCCACCCAAGUCUUUUAGUUUAUAUGUCACCAAGCAGUAAAGCAAAUGCUUCUCCCAAACUCUGUAUAAAAAUGUAACUUCCUGUGCAAAAAAAAAAAAAAAUUGACAAAUAUCACUGGAGUUUACUGAAUCCGUUGUUGAACUGUUCUUUGUGUAUGGAAUGCUGGUCCCAGGCGGCUGAGGGA
This is a long non-coding RNA of Syngnathoides biaculeatus (alligator pipefish), 650 nucleotides long. RefSeq lists it as uncharacterized. The record is from RefSeq and is a predicted model, not a curated record. NCBI's taxonomy places the organism in Eukaryota, Metazoa, Chordata, Actinopteri, Syngnathiformes, Syngnathidae. The transcript has 4 exons.